Molecule: ribosomal RNA, 383 nt
Filed under: Melyvonnea erubescens
Lineage: Eukaryota; Rhodophyta; Florideophyceae; Hapalidiales; Hapalidiaceae
Description: Mesophyllum erubescens partial large subunit ribosomal RNA
Rfam family: Eukaryotic large subunit ribosomal RNA
Source: RNAcentral
ACAACUCACCUGCCGAAUGAAUUAGCCCUGAAAAUGGAUGACGCUGAAGCGUACAGCCGACACCGCGCCGUUUUGGCAAAAAGCGACCAAAAUGAGUAGGAGGGCGUGGCGGUCUUGUGAAAAAGGUCGAGACGCGAGUCUGACUGGAACGGCCGCUAGUGCAGAUCUUGGUGGUAGUAGCAAAUAUUCAAGCGAGACCCUUGAAGGGCGAAGCGGGGAAGGGUUCCACGCGAACAUUGAUUGGGCGUGGGUGAGUCGUUCCUAAGCCGGGUGGUAAUCGUUCUUCGAAGCGGCGAAAGGGAAGCGGGUUAAAAUUCCUGCACACGGAUGUGGAGGCGGCAACGCAAAUUGAGUUGGAGACAUCAGCGGUAGCGNUAGGCAGA